This 433-nucleotide ribosomal RNA is filed under the name uncultured bacterium. RNAcentral describes it as "bacterial SSU rRNA". It matches the Rfam family "Bacterial small subunit ribosomal RNA", at positions 28 to 458 of the family's 1533-position model. The record is from RNAcentral.
GAUGAACGCUGGCGGCGUGCUUAACACAUGCAAGUCGAACGGACGAUGAAGAGCUUGCUUUUCAAAGUUAGUGGCGGACGGGUGAGUAACGCGUGGGUAACCUGCCUCAUACAGGGGGAUAGCAGCUGGAAACGGCUGAUAAAACCGCAUAAGCGCACAGCAUCGCAUGAUGCAGUGUGAAAAACUCCGGUGGUAUGAGAUGGACCCGCGUCUGAUUAGCUAGUUGGUGAGGUAACGGCCCACCAAGGCGACGAUCAGUAGCCGGCCUGAGAGGGUGACCGGCCACAUUGGGACUGAGACACGGCCCAAACUCCUACGGGAGGCAGCAGUGGGGAAUAUUGCACAAUGGGGGAAACCCUGAUGCAGCGACGCCGCGUGAAGGAAGAAGUAUCUCGGUAUGUAAACUUCUAUCAGCAGGGAAGAUAAUGACGGU